RNAcentral lists this ribosomal RNA (406 nucleotides) under Striatella unipunctata. Its description in RNAcentral is "partial Bacterial large subunit ribosomal RNA". It matches the Rfam family "Bacterial large subunit ribosomal RNA", at positions 1402 to 1898 of the family's 2925-position model. Lineage: Eukaryota; Bacillariophyta; Striatellaphyceae; Striatellales; Striatellaceae. The record is from RNAcentral.
CCGAAAGGCGUAGUCGAUGGGAAUGCAGUUAAUAUUCUGCAGCCUGGUGGUAGUGACGGAUCUCGUAAAUUGUACAUCCUUAUUGGAUUGGGUGUGCAGUGAAGAGGUUCCAGGAAAUAGCUCCACCGUAUAGACCGUACCCCAAACCGACACAGGUGGUCAGGUAGAGAAUACCAAGGCGCUUGAGAGAACUCGGGUGAAGGAACUAGGCAAAAUGGUACCGUAACUUCGGGAGAAGGUACGCUGUUGCCGGUGAUGGGACUUGCUCCCUAAGCUAGCGACAGUCGAAGAUACCAGUUGGCUGCGACUGUUUAUUAAAAACACAGCACUCUGCAAACUCGUAAGAGGACGUAUAGGGUGUGACACCUGCCCGGUGCCGGAAGGUUAAUUGAUGGGGUUAGCGUAA